ACUGUUAUAAAUCAACAUAUUGAUUUAUAAGCAUGGAAAUCCCCUGAGUGAAACAACGAAUUGCUGUGUGUAGUCUUUGCCCAUCUCCCACGAUGGGCUUUUUUUUAA
RNAcentral lists this non-coding RNA (108 nucleotides) under Escherichia coli. RNAcentral describes it as "antisense sRNA RprA". It matches the Rfam family "RprA RNA". Rfam says of the family: Translational regulation of the stationary phase sigma factor RpoS is mediated by the formation of a double-stranded RNA stem-loop structure in the upstream region of the rpoS messenger RNA, occluding the translation initiation site. The record is from RNAcentral. Lineage: Bacteria; Pseudomonadati; Pseudomonadota; Gammaproteobacteria; Enterobacterales; Enterobacteriaceae. RNAcentral also lists the same sequence under 1 other name.